This is a non-coding RNA of Salvia hispanica, 967 nucleotides long. The record is from RefSeq and is a predicted model, not a curated record. Lineage: Eukaryota; Viridiplantae; Streptophyta; Magnoliopsida; Lamiales; Lamiaceae.
GCCAAAAGUCAUUUUAGGGCUGGAAUAGUAAUUACAGCAUUAAUCAGAUUCAGUGUAUGGUUAAACACGGCGGAGAGGCGCGUCGAUCACUGCGCUCCGGUGCCGCUUCCUCUGGCUCUGGCUUCCACCUCAACAUCGACUCCAAUCAUUCACUGCCUCUCUCCGGUCACAAGAGACCGAAUCACUACUCUAUUUACCGCUGUUUUGUGGGAGAUACUAUUGAGGUUGUUCUUCCUAAGGAUAAGCGGACUGGAUUACAGCAGGGUUUGUGAUCAACCAUUGAUUGUGCGGUUUGCAGAUCAGAAGUAGCCCCAAAUAUGGGAUUCAAGAUGGAGAGAUGUGCAGUGUGCCUUCCGUUUCUCAGUUAUAUGAUAUAGCUGGACGACCAUUUUUCUGGAGAGAUGGAGGAUCUAUGCCAGAUUGCCAGUAUUCUCACUCAGGAUGCAAGAUAGUAACAAUGGCAAACAAGGAUUCUGCACCCGUAACCAGAGCAUUUGAUUCCAGUGCUGAGGUAGAGUCUGUAGAAUGUGACUGGAGCAAGCAUGUUUUUCCUGAUGGAGAUUUGUACCAUUAUAACUGUGUGACAUGUGAAAGCAGGUGGGAGAACCCUGUGGAGCUCAGUAUGCAAUUUAUGAACAAGAACUUGAUGGCCUAGAAGAACAGCAACAACACCUGCAUGAAUCAAAUUUACACACUUUUGUCCCAGGAGGUGUUAGAAGCCCAAAAGGUACCUGCACUCGCAUGACUCCAAGAGUUAAUACAAAGGAAGCAUAGCUGCUGGAAUCACAUAUGGUUAGUUUCAGCUGACUACCUUGUAUUUCAGUUGAGUUAUUCAAGUAUGUUACAACUGUGUCUUAUGUGAGUUAGAGGGUAUAACUUGUCUGUAACACUUUUUCAUUCAAGUUGUAUUCUGGAAUUUAUAUGUUAAUGCUGCAAAACAAUCAUAAUCCCGAGGGAAUUAGUUUCA